This 811-nucleotide ribosomal RNA is filed under the name Podon leuckartii. RNAcentral's name for it is "eukaryotic LSU rRNA". It matches the Rfam family "Eukaryotic large subunit ribosomal RNA", at positions 1297 to 1920 of the family's 3401-position model. The record is from RNAcentral. Lineage: Eukaryota; Metazoa; Arthropoda; Branchiopoda; Diplostraca; Podonidae.
CCGAACAACCAGCCCUUAAAAUGGGAGGCGCUAUAGCGUUGUGCCUAUACCGGGCCGUCGGUCGGCAGUGUGAUACGCCCUCCUCUUGAAGAAAGAGACGAGGCGCUGAGGCCCCGACGAGUAGGGGGGUCGCGACGGUGAGCGUUGAAGGGUUAUGGGCGCGAGCCUGCCUGGAGCCGCCGUCGGUGCAGAUCUUGGUGGUAGUAGCAAAUACUCCAGAGGGAUCCUGGAGGACUGACGCGGAGAAGGGUUUCAUGUGAACAGUGGUUGGACAUGAGUCAGUCGAUCCUAAGCCGCAGGAGAAAUCCGACCUAGUGUACUGGCGUGAUUCUUUUUUGUCCGGGGUGUGUGAAUAUAUAUUUUAUAUAUGUACGCACACUUUACAACAAAAUAUUAUCAGAGGCGCCGCUUGGUUAAGGCGAAAGGGAAUCCGGUCCUAAUUCCGGAACCAGGCUGUGGCUACGUCCGACGAAAUACGAAUUAACCCUCGUUUUCUCGGUCGCGGUAACGCGACACAAACCGAAGAAGCUGCCGAGAACCCCGGGAAGAGUUUUCUUUUCUGCUUGAGGGACCGAGACCCUGGAAUUCCGUCGUGGAGCGAGAGGGUUUUGGAUACACGCUGGUAAAAAGGCGAUCCCGAAGAGCCCCGCGUUUCUGCGGGGUCCGUGGUCGUUCUCGACUGGCCCUUGAAAAUUCGGUGGGAGGGUUACGUUUUUGGACGUUCACGCCUGCUCGUACCGAUAUCCCGCAUCAGGUCUCCUAGGUGAACAGCCUCUAGUCGAUAGAUGAAUGUAGUAAGGGAAAUCGGCAA